GGAGCUUGCUCCCCGCUGACGAGCGGCGGACGGGUGAGUAAUGCAUAGGAAACUGCCCAGUAGUGGGGGAUAGCCCGGGGAAACCCGGAUUAAUACCGCAUACGUCCUUCGGGAGAAAGCAGGGGCUCUUCGGACCUUGCGCUAUUGGAUGUGCCUAUGUCGGAUUAGCUAGUUGGUGGGGUAAGAGCCUACCAAGGCGACGAUCCGUAGCUGGUCUGAGAGGAUGAUCAGCCACAUCGGGACUGAGACACGGCCCGAACUCCUACGGGAGGCAGCAGUGGGGAAUAUUGGACAAUGGGGGCAACCCUGAUCCAGCCAUGCCGCGUGUGUGAAGAAGGCUUUCGGGUUGUAAAGCACUUUCAGUGAGGAGGAAAAGUGGGUCCCUAAUACGGGCUCGCCUUGACGUUACUCACAGAAGAAGCACCGGCUAACUCCGUGCCAGCUGCC
This 447-nucleotide ribosomal RNA is filed under the name Marinobacter nanhaiticus. RNAcentral's name for it is "bacterial SSU rRNA". It matches the Rfam family "Bacterial small subunit ribosomal RNA", at positions 75 to 516 of the family's 1533-position model. Lineage: Bacteria; Pseudomonadati; Pseudomonadota; Gammaproteobacteria; Pseudomonadales; Marinobacteraceae. The record is from RNAcentral.